Long non-coding RNA from Crotalus tigris (Tiger rattlesnake), 1995 nucleotides. RefSeq lists it as uncharacterized. Lineage: Eukaryota; Metazoa; Chordata; Lepidosauria; Squamata; Viperidae. The transcript is spliced from 5 exons. The record is from RefSeq and is a predicted model, not a curated record.
GAAGGAAGAGGCGAAGAAUUGUUUCUACUUCACAGUCACCAUCAGACGCUAUCUACAGUUGGCUUUCCUUCAAACAUAGUCAAAACUGUAUCUGGAAAAGUAAAAAACUGUCUGACAAUGUUGACCAUAUGGAAGACAGUGUCUUGUAGCAAUUUACAUAAAAUAUCCAUUUCUUAUAGUUGCCUAUGAUUUUCCAAAGCUAUUUCAAUUGCAUCAUUUUUUUCUUUUCGCCAUAAAGAACAAAGGAAAGGAAUGUAUGUGCAGAUGUCCUGUCUGCAGAUAGAAUCUGAGCAGCCUAAAAGGAGAAUUAGAUUGGCUUUAUCAUCCUUAUUGGACUUCUAGAAAGUACAGGAAAUCACACCUACCACACGUUUGAUGCUUAAUUUAUGAACAAUAAAAACAAGGGAGAAAUGUAGGCUCCUCUCUGCCACCCUCUUACUCGCCCAGUUUAUUAGGAAUUACAAUGCCCAAACUUUCACAAUAUUCAAAUGUUUAUCAUUCUAAAUGACAGUGAAUUCCAGAAAUAUUAUCAAGACUUCAGUUUAUGUAUCCUAGGGGAGAGGAAUUUUAUUUUGCCAUUUCGUAUAAGUUAUCAUGACUCAGAGUAGAAUCUUUGCCUCUGCAUUCUCCAUGUGGGGCAUUUUAAGCUGGUUCUAAUAUUCAGUUGCUGAAGUACUUUAAUUCUGCCUGACUCCAGCUCAGUGUGGUUUAAAGCAUCAGAAGGAAAUAUUUGCUUUUCACAUUUUCUAUGCAACUGCCAAAAAAGAAAUUGAUUAACUUCCUUGCGGUUAGAUGUGUGAGCAGCAAAAGCAUGUAGAGCUUAUGAAAUUCUUUAGCACAGAGACAUACAUGCUUCUUUUUUCUUUUGAAAUUAUUAUCAGAAGCAUGAAAGUCUCAUGUUCAUUUUUUAACCAUUUGCUUAUGCAGAACCAACUCUUUUUGAAAGGCUGGCUUAAUCCAGGUUCUUCUAGAAAAUCAGCCAGAGAGCCAGUUUGAUGCAGUGAUUAAGGCAUCAGGACAGAAACUGGAAGACCAUGAGUUCUAGUCCCACCUUGGGCAUGAAGCCAGCCAGAUGACCUUGGGCCAGUCACUUUCUCUCAGCCCUCAGAAGGAGGCAAUGGCAAAUCAUUUCUGAAAAGUCCUGCCAAGAAAACUCCAGGAACUUCUCUGGGUAAUCUUCAAGAAUUGGACACAAUUGAGUGGAAGGAAACAAAACAAACAAACAAACAAAAAAGCCAGAGAUCAACUAAAUCCUGAGAUCAAAACAUGCAAAUGGGACAUGGACUCUAUGCUGGAACCUGUUGGAAUGAAGAUGAUGGAAGGCCUUCUUGUGUAUGAUGGUUUUCUAUAUUUCUCCAAAGUUAUGGAAGCCUCUUCUUGAGGAGUUGUAUUCAGCUCACAAAAGAGAUUUCUCCCACUUUCUCGUCAUAAAAGUUCCUAUGGAGGAAGAAGAGAAAAAAGAAUGAAAGAAUGGGCACAUAGACAUCUGUGGCCAAGUGAUGCCUUGAGAUCACUUCUCACAACAAAGGUUUUGGGAAACCUUUGGAAUAACUGAACUUCAUUUCUGUACUUGAUACGAUCUAGUGGGCCAUGUCUUCAAGAUGAUAACCUGCACCUAGUCCUGUGAAAUUUCAAACAUCAGCAUCUUUCCUUCCAAACAGUUUUCCGAUUUUUUUUUAAAUUAUCUUGCCAAAUUAAGAAAGAGAAAAGCUGAAACCUUAAAAGAUUGCAAAAUAUUCUGUAAAAUUUUUGCUAUUUUGUCAGCAAUAAGACCCUUUCCCUAUUCUGGUUUGCAUGCAUCUGCAAUCAGAUAAUGGAUAUAAGCUGAAACUGCUGGAUUUUAUGUAUUAGAUUAGAACAUAUUGUGCUAUUUAUUUUUAAAUCUAGAAUGGACUUGUUUAAAGACCCUCCCUGUUUUAAAUAGUAAUCUACCCCUUUGGGGAAAAUUAUAGAGUUCACGUAAGAAACUGGCUAAAAUUAAAAGUUGUAAAAAUA